CUGACGGAAGACCAUGCUUAGUGGCGCACGGGUGAGUAAUACAUAGGUGACCUACCCUUGGGACGGGGACAACCACUGGAAACGGUGGCUAAUACCGGAUAAGACCACGUGAAGGUGAUUCGCGCGGUAAAAGGAGCAAUCCGCCUGGGGAUGGGCCUGUGGCCUAUCAGGUAGUUGGCAGGGUAAAGGCCUACCAAGCCUAAGACGGGUAGCCGGUCUGAGAGGAUGAACGGCCACACUGGAACUGAGACACGGUCCAGACUCCUACGGGAGGCAGCAGUGAGGAAUUUUGCGCAAUGGGGGAAACCCUGACGCAGCGACGCCGCGUGGAGGAAGAAGGCCCUCGGGUUGUAAACUCCUUUUGCAGGGAAAGAUAAUGACGGUACCCUGCGAAUAAGCCACGGCUAACUCUGUGCCAGCAGCCGCGGUAAGACAGAGGUGGCAAGCGUUGCUCGGAUUCACUGGGCUUAAAGGGCGCGUAGGCGGUUGAUCAAG
This 495-nucleotide ribosomal RNA is filed under the name uncultured Nitrospirota bacterium. RNAcentral's name for it is "bacterial SSU rRNA". It matches the Rfam family "Bacterial small subunit ribosomal RNA", at positions 76 to 587 of the family's 1533-position model. Lineage: Bacteria; Pseudomonadati; Nitrospirota. The record is from RNAcentral.